RNAcentral lists this long non-coding RNA (584 nucleotides) under Anas platyrhynchos platyrhynchos (common mallard). RNAcentral's name for it is "lncRNA (ENSAPLG00000021666.1)". Lineage: Eukaryota; Metazoa; Chordata; Aves; Anseriformes; Anatidae. The record is from RNAcentral.
GUGUGUGUUUUGUUGUUGCUGUUUUGUUUUGUUUUCUGGCUCAGAAGAUCCUUGUUGGAUUGUUUCAAGGAGGCAGACAUGACCAGCACUAAGAUAGGAGGUUGGGUCUCCCAGCACCUGUGGAGCUGCAGCAUCUUCCAGCAGAGGCAGGCCUUGACCCUGCUGCAGGGAGCUGCCCUUCACAGCCAUGCCUGCUGCUUCUGUCUCCCUCUCUGCUCAGAUGAGGUUGAAGGGAAUUCUUUGUUACCCUCUGAGAAUUACCUUCUUCUGUCUACCACCUCUUCUGCUCAGAAGAAGCAGAAGCUCUCCUCAUUUAACAAACAAGAAGGAAGGUGGCAUUUUUGAAAAUGGUAGCUAUCCAUGUAGUUCUGGAAAUGUCCGCGUUAUUUUUUGAUCUCUAUCAAAAAACAUACUUUGUGCUAUAAGGGAUAAUGGGCAAAAACGUAUGCAGCCAUACAGCCAAGUGACCUCAGAAAGCUUGGUGCCCUUAGAGAAAGGGCAAGAAACCAAGGUGGUUGGAGUCUGCCUUGCUGCUUAUGCUUGGGACCAAUAAAGUCUGUAGCAACCAGGAUAGAAAUACUUGG